GACGAACCGUGCGAACGUUAUUCGGAAUCACUGGGCCUAAAGCGCGUGUAGGCGGCCCGGCACGUCUCUGGCUGAAAUCCCCCGGCUCAACCGGGGAAGGGGCCGGGAUACGACCGGGCUGGAGGGGGGUAGGGGGGACGGGAACUCCGGGUGGAGCGGUGAAAUGCGUUGAGAUCCGGAGGAACACCAAUGGCGAAGGCAGCUCGCUGGGACGGUACUGACGCUGAGACGCGAAAGCGUGGGGGGCAAACAGG
Molecule: ribosomal RNA, 254 nt
Filed under: uncultured bacterium
Lineage: Bacteria
Description: partial 16S ribosomal RNA
Rfam family: Bacterial small subunit ribosomal RNA
Source: RNAcentral